UACGGAGGAUCCAAGCGUUAUCCGGAAUCAUUGGGUUUAAAGAGUCCGUAGGCGGUUUAGUAAGUCAGUGGUGAAAGCCCAUCGCUCAACGGUGGAACGGCCAUUGAUACUGCUAGACUUGAAUUAUUAGGAAGUAACUAGAAUAUGUAGUGUAGCGGUGAAAUGCUUAGAGAUUACAUGGAAUACCAAUUGCGAAGGCAGGUUACUACUAAUGGAUUGACGCUGAUGGACGAAAGCGUGGGUAGCGAACAGG
Molecule: ribosomal RNA, 253 nt
Filed under: uncultured bacterium
Lineage: Bacteria
Description: partial 16S ribosomal RNA
Rfam family: Bacterial small subunit ribosomal RNA
Source: RNAcentral